CCUACGGGAGGCAGCAGUGGGGAAUAUUGGACAAUGGGGGAAACCCUGAUCCAGCGACGCCGCGUGAGUGAAGAAGUAUUUCGGUACGUAAAGCUCUAUCAGCAGGAAAGAAAAUGACGGUACCUGACUAAGAAGCCCCGGCUAACUACGUGCCAGCAGCCGCGGUAAUACGUAGGGGGCAAGCGUUAUCCGGGUUUACUGGGUGGAAAGGGAGCGUAGACGGCAGCGCAAGUCUGGAGUGAAAUGCCGGGGCCCAACCCCGGAACUGCUCUGGAAACUGUGAAGCUGGAGUGCAGGAGAGGUAAGCGGAAUUCCUGGUGUAGCGGUGAAAUGUGUAGAUAUCAGGAGGAACACCGGCGGCGAAGGCGGCUUACUGGACUGUAACUGACGUUGAGGCUCGAAGGCGUGGGGAGCAAACAGGAUUAGAUACCCUGGUAGUC
This 440-nucleotide ribosomal RNA is filed under the name uncultured bacterium. Its description in RNAcentral is "partial 16S ribosomal RNA". It matches the Rfam family "Bacterial small subunit ribosomal RNA", at positions 338 to 795 of the family's 1533-position model. The record is from RNAcentral.